This is a non-coding RNA of Halocaridina rubra (Hawaiian volcano shrimp), 74 nucleotides long. Lineage: Eukaryota; Metazoa; Arthropoda; Malacostraca; Decapoda; Atyidae. The record is from the annotation of a GenBank genome assembly.
UACCUCGUGGUGUAGUGGCUAAAACACUCGGCUCACUACCAAGAGAGCUCGGGUUCGAAUCCUGAGCGGGGAAG